Molecule: ribosomal RNA, 497 nt
Filed under: uncultured bacterium
Lineage: Bacteria
Description: partial 16S ribosomal RNA
Rfam family: Bacterial small subunit ribosomal RNA
Source: RNAcentral
GAUGAACGCUGGCGGCGUGCCUAAUACAUGCAAGUCGAGCGAACAGACGAGGAGCUUUCUCCUCUGACGUUAGCUGCGGACGGGUGAGUAACACGUGGAUAACCUACCUAUAAGACUGGGAUAACUUCGUGAAACCGGAGCUAAUACCGGAUAAUAUAUUGAACCGCAUGGUUCAAUAGUUAAAUACGGUUUUGCUGUCACUUAUAGAUGGAUCCGCGCCGCAUUAGCUAGUUGGUAAGGUAACGGCUUACCAAGGCAACGAUGCGUAGACGACCUGAGAGGGUGAUCGGCCACACGGGAACUGAGACACGGUCCAGACUCCUACGGGAGGCAGCAGUAGGGAAUCUUCCGCAAUGGGCGAAAGCCUGACGGAGCAACGCCGCGUGAGUGAUGAAGGUCUUCGGAUCGUAAAACUCUGUUAUUAGGGAAGAACAAAUGUGUAAGUAACUAUGCACGUCUUGACGGUACCUAAUCAGAAAGCCACGGCUAACUACGUG